Molecule: ribosomal RNA, 477 nt
Filed under: uncultured bacterium
Lineage: Bacteria
Description: bacterial SSU rRNA
Rfam family: Bacterial small subunit ribosomal RNA
Source: RNAcentral
UUCGCAAUGCCCGAAAGGGUGACGAAGCGACGCCGCGUGCGGGAAGAAGGCCUUCGGGUUGUAAACCGCUGUCGGGAGUUAGGAAGUGCAAGGAUGUUAAUAGCGUUCUUGCUUGACUAAGGCUCCGGAGGAAGCCACGGCUAACUCUGUGCCAGCAGCCGCGGUAAUACAGAGGCGGCAAGCGUUGUUCGGAAUUAUUGGGCGUAAAGAGCACGUAGGCGGCUGUGUAAGUCGGUUGUGAAAGCCUUCCGCUUAACGGAAGAACGGCAUCCGAUACUGCAUAGCUUGAGUGCGAGAGGGGAGAGUGGAACUUCUGGUGGAGCGGUGAAAUGCGUAGAUAUCAGAAGGAACACCGGCGGCGAAGGCGACUCUCUGGUCCGUAACUGACGCUGAGUGUGCGAAAGCUAGGGGAGCAAACGGGAUUAGAUACCCCGGUAGUCCUAGCCGUAAACGAUGGGCACUAAGUAGAGGGGUUUU